Small nucleolar RNA from Pteropus vampyrus (large flying fox), 144 nucleotides. The record is from Ensembl. Lineage: Eukaryota; Metazoa; Chordata; Mammalia; Chiroptera; Pteropodidae.
AACCAAGGUGAUUCCCUCUCCAAGGGGCUGUUACUAGUGCCCCUCUUCAGGAAAGUAGCAACUUGGAAUAAAAUCUGGCGUGCCUCAGGUGUUCUGGGGAAAAGGGGAUGUGUUUCCUUUGCCUUCCUUUGGCUGCCUACAUGU